Molecule: long non-coding RNA, 587 nt
Filed under: Trifolium pratense (red clover)
Lineage: Eukaryota; Viridiplantae; Streptophyta; Magnoliopsida; Fabales; Fabaceae
Description: long non-coding RNA (TPRA_LNC012755)
Source: RNAcentral
UUUCACUUUUCACACUCACUCUCAUUUUUCACCAGAUCCAAACAACCGUAGAGCUGCUCACUACCACCGUCUCUGCGUCUCAGAACUUCUCACCACCACCGACCCAGAAACCACCGUCUCAGAACCACCAUCUUCUCACUACCACCGUCUUCUCACACCACCGACGAACUCAGAACUCGACAAUUUCAUCGUUCCUGUUGUCAUUUCACCGUUCCGACGAACUCGCCGUCUCCAUUGUUCAAUCUUCGCACCAACUUUCCGACGAACCUUCCAUUGUUAAACCCUAAAUCCCAAAUAUAAGGAUUUGUUACUGUUGUUGAAGGCUUGAAGGAGGUAAAAAUUUCCCCUCUUUAUUUUUCUGUUGUUGAUGCCUUUUACAUUUUGGAUUUUUCUGUUGUUGAAAGUGAGUUUGGAUUUUUGUAUGAAUUCUUCAAGCUUGGAUGUUGAUGGAAGGUUGAAUUAAUUGCUUUUGUUUCACUUUGUUUCAUAUUGGGUUUUGAAAUUGAAAUUAUUCGUGUUUUGAAAUUGGUAAUUGAUUUUCUUGUUCGUUGGAUUUUCCUUCCCUGUUGCAUAAAUAGGCAUAUUAG